Gossypium arboreum is the source of this 960-nucleotide long non-coding RNA. RefSeq lists it as uncharacterized. NCBI's taxonomy places the organism in Eukaryota, Viridiplantae, Streptophyta, Magnoliopsida, Malvales, Malvaceae. The record is from RefSeq and is a predicted model, not a curated record. The transcript has 2 exons.
CCAUUUGGUAACCUGUAAAAGCUUUUCCGUAAAUGCUUUUCAAGUUUUUCUGAUGUUUGGUUUGUUGAAAAUGAUUUCCUACUGUAAAAUAUUUUACAAAAUAUGGGAAAAUGAUGUCUUUUUUUAGGAAAAUUCUUCGCUGGGUCUUGGCUUCCAUCUUCAAAAACUCAAAGCUAGCAAUCCCCAAAGCAUUCUUCUCCACCCAGGCUGUAAAACAGAACCCUAUUUCCAUCUUUCAAAGCCGCGAAAUCUGCCAUAAUAACCAAGAAGAGCCUUGAAAAGCUAGCGAAAAUCUUCAAACAAUGUUCCCAUUUGCCUACUUUCCUCCACCACCGCCUCAUCUACCACCUCUCCAUCCGCAAGCUAGCCUAUGCCAACCGCCUUGACCUCGUCGACCAGCUCCUCGAGACCCAAAAGCUCAAUUCUCAAUACACCCUUGCGCUCAAAUCCGAAGGUUUUUGGAUUCGUCUCAUUAUGCUUUACUCAAACGCUGGGAUGGUUCCACAAGCACUCUAAACGCUCGACGAUUUGUCUAGAAACAGCUUACCUUAUUAGUAGAUGCUUUGCCAAUGAGUUGUUCCCUAGUGCAACGCAAUGGUGCAAAUGAGUCCUGCUAUGAAAGUCGCGCAUAUUUAUAUCAGCACCAAACUGCAGCAGCAGCUCAAGCAUCACACAAUUCCCACAUUGGCAUGCCUGAUGCAACAAUGAACAACCUUGUAGACAGUUCCCCGGGUCAUUUGAAUCCUUGAUUCUCUGACAGUCCAAUGGAUCAUGCUGUCCCUUUCCUCUUUCUGGUUUUCAAGAGACGAGUCUUGUGCAUCAACAACAUUAUGUGGUGUACUAUUAGUUAUGCCCUUGGACAAUGUUGUUGUUAUUAUGUGGUGUACUACUAAUUAUGUAUUUGGAAUAAUAUUAUUAAUUUCUAGUAUUAAUUGUGGUUUGGAGGCUAUUUUAUAAUUA